Molecule: microRNA precursor, 79 nt
Filed under: Medicago truncatula (barrel medic)
Lineage: Eukaryota; Viridiplantae; Streptophyta; Magnoliopsida; Fabales; Fabaceae
Description: MIR5269 microRNA precursor family
Rfam family: MIR5269 microRNA precursor family
Source: Rfam by way of RNAcentral
UUAAUUUAAAUUACUGUGGUUCUACACUUUGAAAAUUGAAUCCACACAAAGUGGUGAGACAUACAUUGAUUUCAUCCAA